Molecule: ribosomal RNA, 429 nt
Filed under: Bacteroidota bacterium
Lineage: Bacteria; Pseudomonadati; Bacteroidota
Description: Bacteroidetes bacterium partial 16S ribosomal RNA
Rfam family: Bacterial small subunit ribosomal RNA
Source: RNAcentral
UAGGGAAUCUUCGGCAAUGGGGGGAACCCUGACCGAGCAACGCCGCGUGAGUGAAGAAGGUUUUCGGAUCGUAAAGCUCUGUUGUUAAGGAAGAACGAGUGUGAGAAUGGAAAGUUCAUACUGUGACGGUACUUAACCAGAAAGGGACGGCUAACUACGUGCCAGCAGCCGCGGUAAUACGUAGGUCCCGAGCGUUGUCCGGAUUUAGUGGACGUAAAGCGAGCGCAGGCGGUUAGAUAAGUCUGAAGUUAAAGGCAGGGGCUCAACCAUUGUAGGCUUUGGAAACUGUUUAACUUGAGGGCAGAAGGGGAGAGGGGAAUUCCAUGUGUAGCGGUGAAAUGCGUAGAUAUAUGGAGGAACACCGGUGGCGAAAGCGGCUCUCUGGUCUGUAAAUGACGCUGAGGCUCGAAAGCGUGGGGAGCGAACAGG